GACGAACGCUGGCGGCGUGCUUACNACAUGCAAGUCGAACGGAAAGGCCUGCAGCUUGCUGCGGGUACUCGAGUGGCGAACGGGUGAGUAACACGUGGGUGAUCUGCCUUGCACUUCGGGAUAAGCUUGGGAAACUGGGUCUAAUACCGGAUAGGACAGCUGUUUAGUGUCAGUUGUGGAAAGUUUUUUCGGUGCAAGAUGAGCUCGCGGCCUAUCAGCUUGUUGGUGGGGUAAUGGCCUACCAAGGCGUCGACGGGUAGCCGGCCUGAGAGGGUGUACGGCCACAUUGGGACUGAGAUACGGCCCAGACUCCUACGGGAGGCAGCAGUGGGGAAUAUUGCACAAUGGGCGGAAGCCUGAUGCAGCGACGCCGCGUGGGGGAUGAAGGCCUUCGGGUUGUAAACUCCUUUCGACAGGGACGAAGCGUAAGUGACGGUACCUGUAUAAGAAGCACCGGCUAACUACGUGCCAGCAGCCGCGGUAAUACGUAGGGUGCGAGCGUUGUCCGGAAUUACUGGGCGUAAGGAGCUCGUAGGUGGUUUGUCGCGUCGUCUGUGAAAUUCCGGGGCUUAACUCCGGGCGUGCAGGCGAUACGGGCUGACUUGAGUGCUGUAGGGGAGACUGGAAUUCCUGGUGUAGCGGUGAAAUGCGCAGAUAUCAGGAGGAACACCGAUGGCGAAGGCAGGUCUCUGGGCAGUAACUGACGCUGAGGAGCGAAAGCAUGGGUAGCGAACAGGAUUAGAUACCCUGGUAGUCCAUGCCGUAAACGGUGGGCGCUAGGUGUAGGGGGCUUCCACGUCUUCUGUGCCGUAGCUAACGCAUUAAGCGCCCCGCCUGGGGAGUACGGCCGCAAGGCUA
This 858-nucleotide ribosomal RNA is filed under the name uncultured Actinomycetes bacterium. RNAcentral describes it as "bacterial SSU rRNA". It matches the Rfam family "Bacterial small subunit ribosomal RNA", at positions 28 to 896 of the family's 1533-position model. The record is from RNAcentral. Lineage: Bacteria; Bacillati; Actinomycetota; Actinomycetes.